UACGUAGGGUGCGAGCGUUACUCGGAAUUACUGGGCGUAAAGCGUGCGCAGGCGGUUUUGUAAGCCAGAUGUGAAAUCCCCGGGCUUAACCUGGGAAUGGCAUUUGGGACUGCAAGGCUCGAGUGCGGCAGAGGAGACUGGAAUUCCUGGUGUAGCAGUGAAAUGCGUAGAUAUCAGGAGGAACACCGAUGGCGAAGGCAGGUCUCUGGGCUGACACUGACGCUCAUGCACGAAAGCGUGGGGAGCAGACAGG
Molecule: ribosomal RNA, 253 nt
Filed under: uncultured bacterium
Lineage: Bacteria
Description: partial 16S ribosomal RNA
Rfam family: Bacterial small subunit ribosomal RNA
Source: RNAcentral